UACGGAGGGUGCAAGCGUUAAUCGGAAUUACUGGGCGUAAAGCGCACGCAGGCGGUUUGUUAAGUUAGAUGUGAAAUCCCCGGGCUCAACCUGGGAACUGCAUUUGAAACUGGCAAGCUAGAGUCUCGCAGAGGGGGGUAGAAUUCCAGGUGUAGCGGUGAAAUGCGUAGAGAUCUGGAGGAAUACCGGUGGCGAAGGCGGCUCCCUGGACAAAGACUGACGCUCAUGUGCGAAAGCGUGGGGAGCAAACAGG
This 253-nucleotide ribosomal RNA is filed under the name uncultured bacterium. RNAcentral's name for it is "partial 16S ribosomal RNA". It matches the Rfam family "Bacterial small subunit ribosomal RNA", at positions 524 to 776 of the family's 1533-position model. The record is from RNAcentral.